Molecule: ribosomal RNA, 315 nt
Filed under: uncultured eukaryote
Lineage: Eukaryota
Description: partial 18S ribosomal RNA
Rfam family: Eukaryotic small subunit ribosomal RNA
Source: RNAcentral
CCCUUAGACGUUCUGGGCCGCACGCGCGCUACACUGACCAGUGCAACAAGCAUCCGUCCUUGGCCGACAGGCUCGGGUAAUCUUUGAACGCUGUUCGUGAUUGGGAUAGACCUUUGCAAUUAUGGGUCUUCAACGAGGAAUUCCUAGUAAACGCAAGUCAUCAACUUGCAUUGAUUACGUCCCUGCCCUUUGUACACACCGCCCGUCGCACCUACCGAUUGAAUGGUCCGGUGAAGCCUCCGGAUUGGCGCGCACCUCGGUGCCGCCGAGAAGUUGGCUAAACCUUACCAUUUAGAGGAAGGUGAAGUCGUAACA